GUAGUAUUUUCAGGACAAGGAACUUUUUUUAAAGAGCUUGCAAAUCUCAAACGGAAUUUUUCAUAUGAUGUAUGUGGUUUUUUGUCACUUCUAUUAUUUUUUUCUUCUUACUUUUGUUUAUAGGAGUGUACUUCAUUUUUAUCUAAUAAAUUUAUUUUAUAUUUUUACAACAUAUUGAGCAUGCCUUUUGUUGGAUUAGGGGUCAUGGAUUGCCUACGUAGACCAAUCGAGUCUCGACCCGACCUGAUCCAUUUCGAAUUUUGAUUAUUUGAUAAAAAGGGGAUAAAAUUGGAUAUUUGAAUUUUGGAGAAACAGUAACAAAAAUUGUUCCACUUCCCUUUAUAUUCCAAAAUUGAUUCUUCUUGUUCAGUGUGUGAAAUAGAGGAAUGAAAAUCAGAAAAAAUAGAAAAAGAAAAGUGGUGAACAAUUUCAACAUUAACAAAACAUCAAAGGCAUUUAAGUUUGUGAAUCAAUAUUCUGUUUCCUAGAGAGACGUAAAUUGACUUGGGACAAUUGUGUCAGUAGCAAAUUCAACCAACAGAUUAAGGUACACACUUUUUUACUAAGAAUUUGCUCUCAAUGGCAUCAGAGCCAGGUUCCAUCUCUGAAUAGUAAUUUCUUGAUAUAAAUCACUGAUUUUUCUUUAUAAAUUUUUCCAGUAAGUGUGAAAAUUCUUGAAAUUAUUUAUUAAGAGUUCAGUACAUACCUGUAAGAGAACAAAUAAGUUCAGAACGAGAUCGAAAAAUUUGAACCCGACGUAAAUUGGAGUAUCAAUUCGCGAUUUGUGAUAAGUCGUACCAUACGUGCGCUUUGGAUUUGAUAUUAUUUUCGUUUCCUCAUAGAUCUGUGAAAGAAAUUUGGUUUUAAGAAAAAAAAAAUUAAUAAGAAAAGUUGAAGAAAAUGUAGAUCUAUGCAUUUUUUUUCUCUGGAAUGUUAUUUCAUAGAGAAAGAUGAAGAUGUGUGCAUUUUUUUAAUUUCUGAAAUAUUGUUUCGCAGAGAAAGAGGAAGUCCUAUGCAUUUUUUUUCUGGAAUAUUAUUUAAUAAAGAAGAUGAACAUCUGUGCACCUUUUUUUAUCUCUCUUCUUUGUCGAAUAUAAUAAAUAAAGGGAGAAAUCUUAAUUUCUUUUACUUUUGGUUGUCGUAUAAGGUAAAUUUUUCUAGAAAACAGUGCCUAAAAAUUGGUGCAAUUAAGGUUAGCACUAUAUUUUAUAUUUCCACUAAUAGUUUCAUUACUAUUCAUUUUAUUUAUUUAAGAACAGGUGUUUGGAAUAAUUAAAUAAACUUAUUCUAAUUUUAGUGGAAAUGAAUAAUUUUUUUUAUUUAUGUCAUCUUUUGUCAUUAUUCAUUAAAAUGGAUUGAGUAAAUAAGUAUGAAUUAGAUUAGAUGUUAUUUUUUCCUUAAUUAGUUCAUAAUUACAUUUUAACAAAUUUUGCCUUCUACAAUUGUCAUAAGUUGUCACAUUGAGUGUUAAAUUAUUCUAAUUGUUUCUUGGUUUCUAUUUCAGAAAUGACUGAACGGGGAUAAACUCUAAUCACUCCAAGUGAGAGUUUUGGAUGUCGAGCAAAGAGACAAUGUGGAAGAGCACGUCGUCGAAGGGCAUGUUUUUGAGGUUGUGAUAUCAUACGAAAUGGUGUCCCCAGGACGAAACAAAAUCUGUUACGAAGCGAAAGAGCUANNNNNNNNNNNNNNNNNNNNNNNNNNNNNNNNNNNNNAACAUUACUGUUGCUAGUUUUAUUCAUUUGUUUGAAUUAAAAUGUGUAGAACUAGAAAACUAAGUAGCAAUCUCGGAUUAAAAAGCAUUAGUUAUUUUAGCAAAUUCUCUCCGAGAUCUUUGGGGCGCGAGAUUAAUUGAUGUUUACCACGAAAGGUGGCUUAGCGAG
This 1880-nucleotide long non-coding RNA is filed under the name Capsicum annuum. Its description in RNAcentral is "long non-coding RNA (CANN_LNC022562)". Lineage: Eukaryota; Viridiplantae; Streptophyta; Magnoliopsida; Solanales; Solanaceae. The record is from RNAcentral.